This is a long non-coding RNA of Gadus morhua (Atlantic cod), 1177 nucleotides long. NCBI's taxonomy places the organism in Eukaryota, Metazoa, Chordata, Actinopteri, Gadiformes, Gadidae. The record is from Ensembl.
GAGAAAUAACGACUGAAACAUUUCUCACUUUCUACUUUCUAGGCUCUCACCGGAUGGAAGUGUCAGAAAAUUUGCCUUUGAGCUGGCAGUGCACUUCAGCUGCCCAUUCCCUGCAUCCUGGUCGAGGAAGAGCAUGGCGGGGAAGGACUGGUUCACCUCCUUCAUGGAGCGCAGUGGCAGCCUCUCCCUUCGGCGUCCAGAGGCCACUAGCCAACAACGGUUGUCAAGUUUCAACCAAAGGGUCACCACUGUCCAGGUGCAAGACCGCGUCGUCGCCCAGAUGGAGCAGAAGCAGGUCGGGUCAGUGACCUCAGCGGAGAGGGGGACCCUGGUCACAGUUGCCCUGGCAGGCAAUGCUCAGGGCGACCUUGUUCCGCCAUUCUUCAUCUUCCCCCCGUAAGCGGUUCAAAGACCACUUCCUGAGGGGUGGACCCGUUGGCUGUGCAGGCAGCGGCAACCCAACUGGCUGGAUGAAGGAGCCAGACUUCCUCCUGUACCUGGCCCACUUCACCAGUCACACCCGUGUGUCCAAGGAGUCGAAGCUGCUCCUCCUGCUGGACAAUCACACGUCCCACCUGUCAAUUGCAGCAAUUGAUUACUGCAGAGCCAAUGGCAUAGUGCUGCUGUCAUUCCCUCCCCACUGCACCCACAGGUUGCAGCCAAUGGACAUUAGUGUCUUCGGCCCCCUUAAGGGGUACGUAAACAGUGCAGCGGACAGGUGGAUGAGGAGCCACCCAGGGAUAAACAUCUAAAUUUAUGAUGUGCCCUCCAUCGUUGCUGAAGCCUUACCAAAGGCUGCAACAGUGAACAACAUUACCUCCGGGUUCUCAAGUCCAGGGAUCUGGCCUUUUAACCCCUCUGCAUUUGAGGAGAAGGACUUCGCCGGAGCCUAUUCAACAGACCGCCCUCCUCCCCAGGCUUCGGGUGACGAGGUCAGCGCUUCUCCAGGUGCCACUUCAGGCAUGGAUGUACCUGAUCGAGCUGUCCGGCCUGAGGGAGAGGCCGUUGAAUUCAGCCCGGACAUCGUCCGGCCUUACCCUAAGGCCGGACCUAGAAAGAUCACAAAGAGAAGAGGGAGAAAGAGGACAACUGCUAUACUUACGGACACCCCGGUGAGGGCUGCUUUAGAGGCGGAAAAGCAGGGAACUGUGAAGCAGCGUCGUCCCGCCAAGCAGCC